UACAGAGGGUGCGAGCGUUAAUCGGAAUUACUGGGCGUAAAGCGCACGUAGGUGGCGACGUAAGUCGGGUGUGAAAGCCCCGGGCUCAACCUGGGAAUUGCAUUCGAGACUGCAUUGCUGGAGUACGGAAGAGGAGGGCGGAAUUCCCGGUGUAGCGGUGAAAUGCGCAGAUAUCAGGAGGAACACCGGUGGCGAAGGCGGAUCUCUGGGCCAUUACUGACGCUGAGGAGCGAAAGCGUGGGGAGCGAACAGG
Molecule: ribosomal RNA, 253 nt
Filed under: uncultured bacterium
Lineage: Bacteria
Description: partial 16S ribosomal RNA
Rfam family: Bacterial small subunit ribosomal RNA
Source: RNAcentral